Molecule: ribosomal RNA, 440 nt
Filed under: uncultured bacterium
Lineage: Bacteria
Description: partial 16S ribosomal RNA
Rfam family: Bacterial small subunit ribosomal RNA
Source: RNAcentral
CCUACGGGAGGCUGCAGUGGGGGAUAUUGCACAAUGGGGGAAACCCUGAUGCAGCGACGCCGCGUGUGGGAAGACGGUCCUCUGGAUUGUAAACCACUGUCCCCAGGGACGAAGAUGACGGUACCUGGGGAGGAAGCUCCGGCUAACUACGUGCCAGCAGCCGCGGUAAUACGUAGGGAGCGAGCGUUGUCCGGAGUUACUGGGUGUAACGGGAGCGUAGGCGGGACUGCAAGUUGGGUGUCAAAUCUACCGGCUCAACCGGUAGCCGCACUCAAAACUGCAGUUCUUGAGGGAAGUAGAGGCAGGCGGAAUUCCUAGUGUAGAGGUGAAAUGCGUAGAUAUUAGGAGGAACACCAGUGGCGAAGGCGGCCUGCUGGGCUUUUACUGACGCUGAGGCUCGAAAGUGUGGGGAGCAAACAGGAUUAGAUACCCGGGUAGUC